Molecule: ribosomal RNA, 253 nt
Filed under: uncultured bacterium
Lineage: Bacteria
Description: partial 16S ribosomal RNA
Rfam family: Bacterial small subunit ribosomal RNA
Source: RNAcentral
UACGUAGGGGGCAAGCGUUGUCCGGAAUCAUUGGGCGUAAAGCGCGUGUAGGCGGCCAGAUAAGUCCGUUCUGAAAGCCCGGGGCUCAACCCCGGAAUGUCUUUCGAAACUGGCCAGCUGGAGUGCGGAAGAGGCAACUGGAAUUCCCAGUGUAGCGGUGAAAUGCGUAGAUAUUGGGAAGAACACCUGAGGCGAAGGCGGGUUGCUGGGCCGACACUGACGCUGAGGCGCGAAAGCCAGGGGAGCAAACGGG